RNAcentral lists this ribosomal RNA (494 nucleotides) under uncultured bacterium. RNAcentral's name for it is "partial 16S ribosomal RNA". It matches the Rfam family "Bacterial small subunit ribosomal RNA", at positions 28 to 523 of the family's 1533-position model. The record is from RNAcentral.
GAUGAACGCUAGCGGGAGGCUUAACACAUGCAAGUCGAGCGGGAUUAGCAGCAAUGCUAUGAGAGCGGCGCACGGGUGCGUAACGCGUAUGCAACCUGCCUUAUACAGGGGAAUAGCCCAUGGAAACGUGGAUUAAUGUCCCAUAGGAUCACGGUAUCGCAUGGUAUUGUGAUUAAAACUGAGGUGGUAUAAGAUGGGCAUGCGUCUGAUUAGGUAGUUGGUGAGGUAAUGGCUCACCAAGCCGACGAUCAGGAAGGGUUCUGAGAGGAUUACCCCCCACACUGGUACUGGGACACGGACCAGACGCCUACGGGAGGCAGCAGUGAGGAAUAUUGGUCAAUGGCCGGAAGGCUGAACCAGCCAUCCCGCGUGCAGGAUGACGGCCCUAUGGGUUGUAAACUGCUUUUGUACCUGAAGAAACCUGGUUACGUGUAACCAGUUGCCGGUAAGGUAUGAAUAAGCAUCGGCUAACUCCGUGCCAGCCGCCGCAGUAA